Molecule: RNA transcript, 1661 nt
Organism: Nasonia vitripennis (jewel wasp)
Lineage: Eukaryota; Metazoa; Arthropoda; Insecta; Hymenoptera; Pteromalidae
Gene: RpS9
Gene name: 40S ribosomal protein S9
Exons: 5
Source: RefSeq, a predicted model, not a curated record
GACAAACAAUAGCAGCACACGAUUCGUUGUUGGUGUCGCGCCAUGUUUAUCUAUUAUUGUUGUUACACAAGUAAUAAACAGCGUUGUUUAUUACCGACAUGUAUAGUAAAAAAUUAUAUUCUCAAAACUCGCAUUUUCUGUAUUUUGGAUUAGAAAUACGCCUGUAACACGUAAAUAUACUGGGGUUACCUUUACUAUAAUGCAAUUGCACACGAACUCAGCGAGAACCCUGUAGCAAGUGUACCUAUGAUAGAUAUACUUUUUGUUUAUUCUAUUGCAUGUAUGUACACAAUAUAUUAAAUAAUUACCUAUGAAACCAUUUUCGAGUUCAAGAAAUAUAAAUUUAUUAAUUGAAGUUGUUAGGGUUUGUACUUCAAAUCAAUUAAUAAUAAAAGCGUUUAUGUUUUAAUCACACAUUAUAUUUUAUUAUUUUUUAUGUAAGUAUAUAGUUCAAAAGCGAAAAAAAUAUUUUACUUACGUGUUUACAGUUUUUUUUCAUAGUUGAGCUCUUAAUAACAAAAAAUGAAAGUCAUACUUAUAUUAUAUUUUAUAAUGAAAGACCAAAUGACCUAUUGAUUGAAAAAAUGUGAAUUGAUAAGAUUUAUACAAUAGAAACUUGUAUAUAAUUGAGUUUUCAACAGAAAAUAUCCUACAGAAAAAAGAUUUAAAAAAUUGCUUAGCUACGCCAUCUACUAUCCUAAAGUAAGUAUAGGCAUUGCCAUCUCUUCGAGUUUUCGUAAUUCCGUGAACCACGCGGCAAACGGAAGCGAAGCUCUCGGCCAUUUCUACGUUGUCCCGAGUGAAGACAGGAGUGUUGGUCGUUUUAUUGUUGAAACAAUACUACGACCAUGGUGAACGGACGAAUUCCGUCAGUCUUUUCAAAGACUUAUGUCACGCCUAGAAGGCCCUAUGAGAAGGCACGUUUAGAUCAGGAGUUACGUAUUAUUGGUGAAUACGGUCUCCGUAACAAGCGUGAGGUAUGGAGAGUCAAGUACACCCUUGCCAAGAUCCGUAAAGCUGCUCGAGAGCUUCUUACAUUGGAAGAGAAGGACCCCAAACGUCUUUUUGAAGGUAAUGCUUUGUUGAGACGAUUGGUCAGGAUUGGAGUGCUCGAUGAGGGACGCAUGAAGCUUGAUUACGUUUUGGGUUUGAAAAUUGAAGAUUUCUUGGAAAGACGUCUGCAAACCCAAGUUUUCAAGCUUGGAUUGGCCAAGUCCAUCCAUCACGCACGUGUGCUCAUCCGUCAAAGACACAUCCGUCAUAUCCCCGAUUGACGGCUCGGAUGCUCCCACAGAGGAAGCGACGAGAUUUAACGACUUUACAUCUUGAAUCGAUGUUUGAUCAAACUAAUUAUUUCAUACAGACCACUUGAGUGUUCGAACUUUGUUUGGCACUUAACGUCUGCCAAAAAAGCAUUGGGUUACGAAACCAUGCUAAUAUUGCGUUCGCAAACAGGUUGUGAACAUUCCAUCCUUCAUUGUCCGAUUGGACUCCCAGAAGCACAUCGACUUUUCUGUCAAGUCGCCCUUCGGUGGUGGUCGUCCUGGCCGUGUAAAGAGGAAGAACCUCCGCAAGGGAACUGGCGCAGCUGCUGCUGAAGAAGAAGAAGAUUAAAUUACACGUUAAUCUUCAGGACGAUCCUGAAUAAAAAAAAAAUAAAA